RNAcentral lists this ribosomal RNA (770 nucleotides) under Elphidium sp. S5. Its description in RNAcentral is "SSU rRNA". The stretch from base 1 to 662 matches the Rfam family "Eukaryotic small subunit ribosomal RNA", at positions 1195 to 1606 of the family's 1831-position model. Lineage: Eukaryota; Foraminifera; Rotaliida; Elphidiidae. The record is from RNAcentral.
UUGACUCACGCGGGAAUCUUACCGGGUCCGGACACACUGAGGAUUGACAGGUUAUGGGGCGGGUUGAAUUUCAAUCUCUUCGGGGAUUAAUUUUCUCCCACCUCAAAAAUAUGCUAGUCCUUUCAUGAUUAUGUGAUAGGUGGUGCAUGGCCGUUCUUAGUUCGUGGAGUGAUCUGUCUGCUUAAUUGCGUUUCACUAAAGGCGUCAUUAAUUUUUUGUGCCUGUGUUUGACCCCGCACUUCGGUGCGCGCGCGUCUUUCACACACAAUUACUUUGACGUCUGAAAGCAACGAACGUGACCGUAACCUCUUGUUGCCUUCUCUUCUCUUCGGAGAAUGCUGCUUUAUACCUUCACGGGUGUAUUGCAGUAUACGGAGGCUUAAUACUCAGUAACUAGAGGGACCGCUGUUACUUUCUUUAAACCAGAGGAAGGUUGCGGCAAUAACAGGUCUGUGAUGCCCUUAGAUGUUCCGGGCUGCACACGUGAUACAUUGAUUACUUCAGUGAGUAUCUACGUAUUACUGCGCAGCAGUAUACGCGUGUUGUUUAUUGCUUCGGCAAUUUACUUUGCGCUAUACGCCGCCUUAACCUACUUCGAAAGUAUGUGGGUAACCAAUUAGAAGUAGUGAUUUCCCUCUUUAUAAGCACACUUAUAUGGAGCAUCAUCACCCGGCAUGCCUUGUGCAUGUUUUGUGUGUGUUGUUUGUCUACAUGUGCUUUUGUCAAUUCAUAGUGGGGACAGACCAUUGUUAAUUGUUGGUCUCGGUCUU